This 273-nucleotide long non-coding RNA is filed under the name Gossypium barbadense (sea-island cotton). Its description in RNAcentral is "long non-coding RNA (GBAR_LNC021212)". The record is from RNAcentral. Lineage: Eukaryota; Viridiplantae; Streptophyta; Magnoliopsida; Malvales; Malvaceae.
UUCUGUUGGAGCUAAGUGCAACAAAUAGCAAGGUUCAACAAAAAGCUUGCCGAGCAAGAAUCGAGACUUGCGGCAGAAACAAAGAAGAAAAAUGAAAUAAAUUUUAAGCAAAGCUAAAAUAGAGAGUAUAUGGAUGAAAUCUUGAUUGAAUUCAUUCAUAUUUUUUUAAAAUGGCAUAAAGCCUAUUUAUACAAGCUUACAACUUGACAACUUAGUUGGAAUACAACUAAGUUUCAUCAUUACAUCCACUUAAAAUAAAUCACCACCUACUAC